GGACCAUUGGAGUAGUGGAUUAUCUCGUCGUUCUUAUAUUUGGGUCUUUGUGCCCAACUAUGGUUAGAGAUGCGAAGGUCACCAGUUCGAUCCUGGUAUGGUCCA
Non-coding RNA from Diaporthe sp. PMI_573, 105 nucleotides. NCBI's taxonomy places the organism in Eukaryota, Fungi, Ascomycota, Sordariomycetes, Diaporthales, Diaporthaceae. The record is from the annotation of a GenBank genome assembly.